RNAcentral lists this long non-coding RNA (316 nucleotides) under Salvia miltiorrhiza (redroot sage). RNAcentral describes it as "long non-coding RNA (SMIL_LNC001308)". The record is from RNAcentral. Lineage: Eukaryota; Viridiplantae; Streptophyta; Magnoliopsida; Lamiales; Lamiaceae.
GGAACAGGUGGCAUGAGAUGGUAAGCCGGAAGGGCGUGGAGGGCGCCGGGGGAGCGGUGGCUCGGAAAAGAGAGAGGUGUCAGGUGGGGGCCAUCAUAAGAAACUACGGGGCCCACUUUCGCCGAGUCUCAAGGCUAAACCCAACUUUUCUUUUUUUCUUUUUCUUUUUCUCUUUGCUUCCCAAAAGAUGCUUUUUCUUCUUCUUUUUUCCCAUGUCAAUGAGAAAAUAUAUACUAGCACUUCUUUCUAUUUUUUCCUUUUCCCCUUUUCCAUUGUAGGGAAUUUCUUUCGCAAAUGGUUUUAGGCUUGCUUAAGA